This 1210-nucleotide long non-coding RNA is filed under the name Vulpes vulpes (red fox). Its description in RNAcentral is "lncRNA (ENSVVUG00000015441.1)". The record is from RNAcentral. Lineage: Eukaryota; Metazoa; Chordata; Mammalia; Carnivora; Canidae.
GGUGCCCGGGGCCCUGUGGGAGCCGGGGAGACCCAGGGCAGGACCCCAGCCUGUCCCUUGCAGCACGCCCUGAGCCCGGGGUUGCCAGUGAGGCCCUGCGCCCCCCGGACUCCAGCUCCUUCCUCAACAGAGCCCCUGUUCAGGGGCAGCCUCCCCACUGGGGCCCUUUCCGGGCCGGGAAGGAAGGGACGGGGAGCUCAGUCCUGGCCACUGCCUGGCCUGCCCCAGGGCCUGGCCUCUUCUGGGGGCCCCGCCAUGGCUGGCCGGCCGCUUUCCUCACCUUCCCGAGUGUCCUCUGCCUUCUCAGACCUCAGCUGCGUCCCCUCGGGGCCGCUGCCCCUUCGUCAGCGGGCACGUCGCACAGCGAUGCAGCGUCUCCGGGGCCCCUGCUGACUUUGCUGGGAAGGGAAGUCCACUUGCAGACGGCAGGUGGUCGGUCACACUGGCACCUCCCUGCGCCCUGCAGCCUGUGGCCUCUGGUCUCGUGUCCACCGGCUUCUCCCACGGAGGUUGCGGACAGGGCCGUGGGGGCCACAACGAAUCCGAGGCCUCCUGCUCCGGGUCCCAGAGAUGCCACCCCAGGCGCUGGGGAGGGCUCCUGGCCACGCUCACGCCCUCUCCUCUGCCGCCCUCUCCUGGCCCAGCAAGGCGAGGCCCCGGGGGCGCGGGCGGGAGGGACACAUCUGCUGGCUUCUCUGUGCCACUGGCCCCUGUGGCAGGGACAGAGCAGCAAACUGUAAAAGACGAUGCGACUUCAGCGUCCGAGCUAGGGAAGCCGAGGCUGUGGGGGGAGCAGGGCACCUGUGCAGGGCUGACGGAAGGUUCUGGAGCUUCCGGGACAGGCGGGGCCAGGAGAGACAAUGAGGAGGGUGUUGCCACCAGACUCAGUGCUCCGCUGUGGAGGAGCCCAGCCCACAGGCCCGCGGCCAAGGGUCAGGACUGCUCUGGGCGUCGCUGCGCCGGACGUGACCGGUUACAGCCCUGGGCGCCGCCCCCUUGGCAGCCUCCAGGACGUGCACCACCAGGUUCCAGGCCCGGUGACUACGGCAGGUGGCAUGAGAGGCAUGAGUCUGCCGCGGUCAUCCAGCAGCACCUGCCGAGCACACACACCCCAGCCCCGCCCAGCCGUGAUGCUGUGACCGGGACGCCCAUGCUGGCCGGAUCAUGUGGGGGCAGCGCAGGCGUCUGCGUGGGCAGCAUCCAGUUCUCG